RNAcentral lists this ribosomal RNA (253 nucleotides) under uncultured prokaryote. RNAcentral's name for it is "partial 16S ribosomal RNA". It matches the Rfam family "Bacterial small subunit ribosomal RNA", at positions 524 to 776 of the family's 1533-position model. The record is from RNAcentral.
UACAGAGGGUGCGAGCGUUGUUCGGAAUUAUUGGGCGUAAAGGGCGCGUAGGCGGUGCCACAAGUCACCUGUGAAAUCCCCGGGCUUAACUCAGAGACUGCUUCCGAAACUGCUGUGCUUGAGUGUGGGAGAGGCGCGUGGAAUUGCAGGUGUAGCGGUGAAAUGCGUAGAUAUCUGCAGGAACACCCGUGGCGAAAGCGGCGCGCUGGACCACUACUGACGCUGAGGAACGAAAGCUAGGGGAGCAAACAGG